RNA transcript from Chelonia mydas (Green sea turtle), 6500 nucleotides. RefSeq lists it as uncharacterized. The record is from RefSeq and is a predicted model, not a curated record. The transcript is spliced from 3 exons. NCBI's taxonomy places the organism in Eukaryota, Metazoa, Chordata, Testudines, Cheloniidae.
CCUUCUGGAUCCUUCCCUUCUGUACUUAAAUUUGCUGUUUUCCUUUAUCCUAAAGCAAUCUUCAUUCAACCCCAUAUUCUCCUCCCCUUUGUUGCUAAGCACUUUGUGUAGGCUUCUCAUGGGGUGGACUUCUCUUACGCCCUUCUCUGUCUGUUUUCACUUUCUCUGCUCCACUAAAAUGAAUUGCCUCUUUUCCAAGUCAGAGGCCAUGUCUACACUACAACCUUUGGUCAAACCAAGUUAUGGUAGGAUACAGCUACUGAAGUUUGUGCAUACGUUCUUGGCUGCUUGCAUUGGUGAUGCACCCUGGACCUUCAUAGGUGCUGGAACUAGGGAUGCGGAGAGUGGCUUGAAGUGGCUUCCAUUAUAUACAGGGUUUACAGUUUGGUUCAAUGGCUCUCAGCACCCCCACUAUACAAAUUGUUCCAGCACCCUGCAGACCUUCAGGAAGCACUGCAACAACUGGGAUCACAAUGAGGAAGAUGAGGAUAUCUUUGAGGAGAGAUUGCUGAUGGACAUAGCAAAAAAAUAAUAAUCCCAGAUUGUUUGUGGCAUUCAUGGAGCAGCUGCAGACUGUGGAGUAUUUCUUCUGGGCCUAAGAAACAAGCACUGAUUGGUGGGAUUGCACAUAAUGCAGAUUUGGGACAAUGAGCAGUGGCUGCAGAACUUUUGGAUGCAAAAGGCCACAUUCCUGGAUCUGUGCCAUCCUCACCCCCGCCCUCCAGUGCAGGGACAGAACGAGAGCUCAUUGGCCGUGGAGAAGUGAGUGGUGAUCGUGUUCUGGAAGCUUAAAGCGCUGGAUUGCAACUGGUUAGUGGGAAAUCAUUUUGAAGUUAGAAAAUCCAUAGUGGGGGCCAUUGUCAUCCAAGUGUGUAAGGCCAUUGAAUGCUGUUCAAGACUGUGACUCCCAGCAAUAUGCAAGAAAUGGUGGAUGGAUUUGCAAAAAUGGGGUUCCGAACUGUGGUGGGGGAAUAGACAGAAUGCACAUCCCUAUCUUGGUGCCAGCCCACCUUGCUACAGAAUACAUCGACAGGCCUAUUUUUCUAUAGUUAUGCAAAUGCUAUUAGAUCCCUGGGGACGCUUCACUGAUAUCAACUAAGGUUGGUCCAGGAAGGUGCAUGGUGCUUGCAUCUUUAAGAUCACAGGAUUGUUCAGAAAGCUGCAAGCAGGGACAUUCUUUCCUUGGUGGCUGAUUAACAUUGACCAUUGAAGAACGUACAACUGGAGAAGAUAUCUUCAGUCUGACUAAUGCAUAUUUUCAAGAAAAGGAAAUAGAUUGGUCUCGUUGCUUAGGCAUUUGCACUGAUGGGGCCACAUCAAUGGCGGGGAAUUAUACUGGAUUUGCAGCUUGAACAAAAAAGGUUGCAUCAAAAGUCUCUUGGACUCAUUGCAGCAUCCAUAGACAAGCCCUCGCAACAAAACGCAUGCCUGCGGGACUGAAGGAAGUGCUGGACAAUGCAGUGGAAAUGGUGAAUUUCAUAAAAUCAUGGCCAAAAAAUUCCAGAAUAUUUCAUGUACUUUGUGAAGAAAUGGGUAGUAUACACAAUUGUCUGUUGACCCAUACUGAAGUUAGAUGGCUCUCAUGGGGCAAAAUCCUUGUGUGCUUGUUUGAGCUUAGAACCGAAAUCCUAGUUUGUUUUGUUUUGUUUUUUUUUCCAACAGCCACCCUUUUCACCUUGCCAGCUGUAUGGAAAAUAAUGUCUGGCUCCAGAGCAUAGCUUAUUUAGCAGAUAUUUUCUCAAGAAUUAAUGACCUAAAUUUAUAUCUUCAAGGCCUCAAUAUAACAGUUUUCAAUGUGCAAGAGCGAGUUGAAUCCAUGAUAAAGAAGUUGCAGUUCUGGGAAAGUUGUUUGGAAAACAAUCAAACUGAGUGUUUCACUAAUCUUCAUGACUUCCUGGCAGAACACAAACUUCAGCUGGAUCAGUGCACUAAAACCAAUACAAUUGCACACCUAAAAGGACUUUGCACAACUUUCAGGGAAUACUUUCCAGCUAUGUCAGGCGAUAAUGACUGGAUUCGCAACCCUUUUGAUGAUAACACUUUCUCAACACAGAUAUUGAACACUGAGGAAAAAGAGAAAUUGAUUGAGAUCUCCUGUGAUUACGAAUUGAAAAGGAGUUUCAGAAGUCUGUCAUUGAUCAACUUUUGGCUGAGUUUAAGAAACAAGUACCCCCUUCUGGCAGAAAAAGCUGCUGCAGUUUUGUUACCAUUUUCAACAACAUACUUAUGCGAGAAAGCGUUUUCCUCAUAUGCACAUCUGAAAACCAAAUACAGAAACAGACUGGACGCCGAACCAGACCUGAGACUUUAUCUUUCUCCAGUGGUUCCGGACUUCCAAGAGCUAUGCAGAGCAAAGAUGCGCAUCCAUCACACUGAGGAAAUUUAAACUUAAAUUCCUGGAAAUACUCAUUUUUAGGAGGGGAUUCAUGAGAUUUCACAAUUUAGUGAAAGGGGUUUGUGGGCUGUUAAAGUUUGGGAACCACUGUCCUAUGUCUACCCAAGUACAGGACACUGAAUCAAUGUGGAUCAUGUAAUUGGACUGCCAUAGGACUGUUCAGGAAUUUGUUUCGCAUUUACUUCCUAACUUUUUAGUUUCUCAAGUAAGUCAGUGAAAUGAAUGAAAAGUCGAUACUUUUGUCUUGUACACGUGGUGGUGGGCUGGGCGACAUCUUUAAAUGGGGGUGGGGGAAGAAAAAGCAAAUAAAACAUUGUAAAGAAAAUGCAUGCAUGCACACACUUACCUGAGCUACCUUCCUCUUCAUCGUCAGGCUCAUCUGCGCUAAAUUCCUAUGGAAUUUCAAACAGGUCCUGGCUUACGGCAUGGGUGAAAUCUCUCACCAUGUCCGUCCACUGUCCCCCGCCCGCCACUGCCCACCCUCAGUGUUCAUGGGAGCAGUCUCCUGCUGGUCCACUGAAGAAUCCAGCGAGGUCUGCCCAUCACUGGUAGGAUCUUGCCCAAGAAUGGUAUGCAAUUCAUUGUAAAAGCAUGAAGUCUGUGGGGCAGCACCAGAUUUCUUGUUACCCUCCCUGGCCUUGUGGUGUUCUUAGUGAAGUGCCUUUGCUUCCAGGCAGGACUGUUGCUGAUCCCUGUCAUACUCCUUUGCCUGCAUCCCCCAUCCAAUCUGCUCGUAGAUGUCCACAUUUCUAUGGCUGGUCCAUAGCUGUGGUUGCACAGCCUCUCCUCCCCAUAGGCACAGGUGAUUCAAUACUGCCUGCCUGCCUGCCUGCCCCAAUGUGGGCGUGGAUUAAUGGUCAGUUGGAUGCAGACAACAGAGGUGAGCUGCUAGGUGUGCUGAUGAAGCCUGGCAACCAGGAAAGGGCAUUUCAAAAACACUCAAGAUUUUUUCAAGGGGGGCUGGCAUGGGAUGGAUUUUCUGUCUCUGUGACCCCUGGGCAAUGGAGUUUAAAGUUGUGAGCAGAGUGGUCACUAUUAUGGGGACUGGGGCAUUGUGGGAUAGCUGCUGGAGGACUGACACAGGUCAUGCAGUGUCUACACUGACUGUGUGGACCUCAGUAGGUUGACUGUGGUUCUACGCUAUUUGGGAUGGUGGUGUUACUGUAACAGGACACUGAUGUUGGCCAGAGACAAAUUUGAGUGUAGCCAUAUACACAAAUAGGUCAACGUAUGUGGGACUUGUAUCAACCUACCUUUGUAACGUAGAUCAGGCCUGUAGGUCUCUUCAUUAUACUUAUUCACUCAUUCCAUCUGCUCUUUGACAUGGUUGAUCGCUCAAUUUUCCUUGAAACUCUGGCCUGGCCUACACUUAAAACUUAGGGUGACACAGCUACAGUCUUGAGUGCCAUAGCUUUACUGACCUAACCCCCAGUGUAGAUGCAGCUAGGUCAGUAGGGGCAGGCCUCCCAAGGGAGGCGUGGGAAUGUGUCAUGGGAGGAGCGAUCUGUGGUUUUUUGUUUUUUAAAGGUCUGGGUAGCUGGGGCUUGUGCAGAAGACUGUGCACACCCAGGAGGUGGGGAAGAAGCAGACAGUAGAGCCCUGCCACCCAGGUUUGUGCUCUCCUUCUUCCCCCCCACCCCCCGCCCAAUCCCUUACCUGGAGAUGGGGUUCUGGUUGUCUGCCCCGGGGUGGCGGCAGCAACAACGCAGAAGGGUGGUAAUGGGGUGCUAAGUCUGCUGUGAAAAGUGAUAUUGACGAAUAUCCCUUUUCACAUUGCCACCCUUACCUCUCCACCGCUGCUGGUGUGGCACUGCCUUCAGAGCUGGGUGCCCAGCCAGCAGCUGUUGCUCUCUGCUCUGCCUCCAGAGCUGGGUGGCAGAAUAUGUACUUGUGGGAGGGAGACGUGAAUGACUUCAGACACAAAGAAAGGGGGCCUGGUCAAAUAAGUUUGAGAACCACUCAAAUAGUCAGUGAAAGAAUGCUUCCGUCAACCUAGCUACCGUUGCUUGGGGAGGUGGAGUUUUAACAGCGAUGGAAAAAGUCUGUGUCUACACUACGAGGUUACAGUGGCAUAGCUCUGGCACCCAAGGUGUAUACGUGGCCCUUGUCUCCCACCCAGAAUUUCUGUGUGGUUCUCCUGUUUUGCUAGCUGGUCCUUCAGUGUCACUUUCAGUAGCUAGCCACAGAGCAGGGGAAGAAGACUAUUUGCCAGGGAUCUGUGCUUGUUUCCCUCUACACUUGCUCCCUGGAUGACUUCAUUCACGGCCAUGGUUUCUUCUCACCUGUUUUAGUGAGACUCCAGAUUUCUCUCUCCAGCCCAGAGUUCUCUUUAGUCCAAGCUCACCUAUCUUGUCUGUCUCCAACAUCUUUUCAAUGAAAGGUUACGGUGCUAUGGAAAAGUAUAGUAGUAAUAGGAAUCUUUUCAAAGGAUCUCCCUCCUGCUCCCUGGUGUGUCUGAAUUAACACUCCCUUUUUGGAAGAGUGUUUUAGGAUGUUAAUUGUCAUCUACCCCUCAGAUGUCUUUGUGAACCUUGUACUUAGCAAGGCCUGUUAGCAUAUUAAUAUCCUUCUUAUGCCUGGAAGUCUGUUUGUAUCACGGGCCUAAUUGUCAAACGUUAAUUAAACUCAAUUAAUCCAUAGUGGGUGGACAGAACUGCUAUCACUGCAGCGGGUUGUUACCCCAAGGGGAGUAAGGUAAUGCUUCAGAGAGGAAAAUAGUAAGGGGAAAGAUAGAAAAGAAAGCCCCGUUUCUCAGAAGAGCAGACUCGGCUCCCUUCCGUGUCUGUCACCAGUGGAUUUAGCUUACAAUAAGGGUGUCCCUCCCUCCCUGUGUGAUGUAAUAAAAAUGAAGGAAAGACAAGGUAAUAUUGUGCAAACAAAGAUAAGUAUAUUAAGGGUAAAGGUACAGAGAACUGGAAAAACGGAGGGAAGAAACUUAACCAUACAGUGAUUCAGUGACUGGCAUUAGAAGCUUGAAGCUCAGACCCACAAAACCUCCCUUGGUAUUCAGAAAAACAAUAAAUAAAACCCCAAUACAGAAACCUUUUCCUACGAGUGAGGCGCAGUGGACACAGCAUAUAGGGGUGAAGCCCAUGACCACCUACUCUCCGGCUCAUGUGGAGCCUUGAGGAGGACUACUGGGGAGCCGUGACAACUGCUGGAUUUCGUUGCAGGCAGGGAGUCCCUCUAGGAUGAUAGACACUAGAAAAGCAGGACCCUCCAGCGGUAAAAUGGAUUCAGUUUGCUGUGGUGGGGAUAGUGAGGACAGGCCUCUCCUUCCUCAACCUUGCUGCAGGAUAGAUGGUACUCUUCUCUCUAGCUCUGGAGCAUUAGGAAGACCCGACCACGCACGUGCUGCUGCUGGAAUGGACAGCACAGGGCAGGUGCUGAGCAAGUUCUUUAUAUAGCCUUUUUGGCAGGAAAAACUGGUUUAGACCAGUUUGAGCCAGGGAAAUCCAGUGUCUUUAACAGUAAACAAGUCUGCUUACAGAGAUGAAGUCCGAGAGUCACAGGUGAUACACUCCAUAUUGGAUUUCAUUAAAGCCAGUGAUUUACAUAACCUUUACCUUAUACCUUUAUCUUAUACAUACUAUUAAAACUGCUAAUUAAACACAUUUAAACAAUACCAACACAACAUUUCUUACUAACAGGGUAUAUGAGAGGUUGUGAGACUGAAACCCAGAGUCAUGAAACAGCAGGUUCCUGCCUCUUAGGCUGUCAGAGAUUAGAUUUGACACAGAGGUGAGGUGUUUAAACUCUGGCCUUGUCUAGAUUAGGAAAAUAGUUCAUGUUUAAAAACAUGUUAGUGUCCCCCUAGGGUACAUCAUGACCGGUUAACAUGAAUUUAAAAGGUGUUAAAUGGUAUCUCUACUAAGUGCUUAUCAUGUUAGCUAACUCCACUUUAAUACAACUUCUUUUAAUUAAUCAUGUUUAUUAUGGUGGUGCCUAAGGACCACCCAUGACUGGGACCCCAUUGUAGGUACUGGACAGACAAUAGCAGACCUUCCCAUCUAAACAGACAAGACAGACACAGGGUGGGGGUGGGGGAGGGGGAGGGGGAGGAACACAACCAGAGCAAACUAUGCAAUGGUGGCAAAUGGCAUGU